UAUAUAAAGGUGUAAGAAGCAUAUUGGAUUUUGAUUCCAAAGGGGUAGGUUUGAUUCUUACUUAUAUAA
RNAcentral lists this transfer RNA (69 nucleotides) under Choroterpides apiculata (nomen nudum). RNAcentral's name for it is "tRNA-Gln". It matches the Rfam family "tRNA". From Rfam's summary of the family: Transfer RNA (tRNA) molecules are approximately 80 nucleotides in length. The record is from RNAcentral. Lineage: Eukaryota; Metazoa; Arthropoda; Insecta; Diptera; Culicidae.